Molecule: non-coding RNA, 617 nt
Organism: Meleagris gallopavo (turkey)
Lineage: Eukaryota; Metazoa; Chordata; Aves; Galliformes; Phasianidae
Source: RefSeq, a predicted model, not a curated record
GAGUGUAUUUAGGGUUGCACAGUACUGAGCCAGUGCUGCAGUCACCUCUCUUGGCAUAAGCAUCUCUGCUUCCAACAGCUCUGCUUGUCUUGUGAGAGCAAAAAAUGAACUGGGAUUACUACUUCAGAAGAGCCCAAAAGAAGUUUUCCAUUUACUUGGAUUCUCUAAGUAAAGACAGAGAAUUUAUCAGUUCUAUCUGUUUCAGUGGAUGGGACACUGAAAAGCAUAACUCAGCUACUGCUUGUGCAGCAUCUCUCGGGACCUCAAUACCACCAGCUUCCCUCAACUGAAGGAAAAUUGCUGACCUUAGCAGUGAAGGGAAAAGUUUACUCUUCUCCCCACCUUAAUCAAGUGCUUUGUGCUUCUGAAUUUGAUCUGAUCUUACAGAUGCUUCUGCAGCUGGUGUUCUCUCCAUGUCUUUGCUGGAGGCACAACUUUAUUCCAGCUGCUUUCCAGAGAUGUGUGGAUGUAUUCCUGAAAUGUGAAGGCUGUGGCUCUGAGAAUUCGUGGGCCACCCUGGCUUCUAAUGUGUAUAGUCCAAGGAGCAAAGCAGAGGGGAGCUAUAAGGAAGAUUGAUAGAGAGAUGCUCUGCCUCUACAGAUAGAAUGCUGAUGGAG